RNAcentral lists this small RNA (1799 nucleotides) under Pongo abelii (Sumatran orangutan). RNAcentral's name for it is "retained intron". The record is from RNAcentral. Lineage: Eukaryota; Metazoa; Chordata; Mammalia; Primates; Hominidae.
CGGAUUGAUGCCAGCCAGUUCCGGGAACUCUUUGCCAGCCUGACACCCUGGGCCUGCGGCUCCCACACGCCUGUGCUGGCAGGGCGCAUGUUCAGGCUCCUGGACAAAAACAAGGACUCGCUGAUCAACUUCAAGGAGUUCGUGACGGGGAUGAGCGGGAUGUACCACGGGGACCUGACAGAGAAGCUCAAGGUGCUCUACAAGCUACACCUUCCCCCAGGUGAGAGCCUCCUGCCCACUCUCCCAGCCAGGGUCUCCCACUUGUCCAGAAGUUCAGCUGCAGAGGACAGGCCUCUGUGAAACUGUGAGGCCUCGAGGGGGCACAGCGGCUCCGCAGGCUGGAGGUUCACAUUGGAGGAGAGAGAGCGGGAGCUUGGGCACCUGACAGAGGUCUGAGAGCAGGGCCUUGGCCUGGGAAGGGACAUGGAGGAGAAUCCCAUGGGUGACCGGGCACCACUGGGAACAGAACUCCCACCGAGGAGGCAGCUGGACCCAAAACCCACGAGGAGGGUCAUGAGUGGAGCUUCAGGGCUGGAACUGAAACUGCUGCAUUUAUUUGUCAAGUUUCUUAAGGGUUUAUUCCCAGAGGUUCAGCUAGAGAAUCCUGUCACAUGGCCAUGAGGAGGGGCCACUUCUCUCUGGCCUCUCAGUGGUGCUGUAGCCUAGCGGAGCUACAUUGGCGACAGGCUGUCUGCACAGGAGGGAGGGCUCAGCGGGGGUGGCUGCAUGGACAGUGCUCCAAGGAGGGGUCAUCUCCCUCAUCACAGAAGGAAACAAAGGCGCAGGCAGGUGGAAAUCCUGGGCCGGGCACUCUGCUGUGGCUGGACCUGCCCCAGGUCCCUGCUGUCGCUUCGCCAUCUGAGGUCAGCAGCUGCCCUCAGAACCGACCCCGGGGAUUUUUAGAAUACUGGGACUGAGCUUCACCCGAGGAGAUUCUCAUCCGAUUGCCUGUGAUGGGGCCCAGACCUGUGGUUUUUAAAGCUGGCAGGCCAUUGCUCUGUGCCUCCAGAGCUGAAAGGCUCUUGACACAGCUGUUCUCGUUUGUGGCUGGCUCACCAGAGAGGCCCUGAUAGGACAGACCCCACUGGGCCUGGGUCCCAGGGUUGAGCGCAUGCAGGGCUACCCUGAGACUCCUAAGACUCCUGAGCCUCCUCAGCCUGCUCUGCCCUGUCCCGUCCAGACACAGAGAACACUUGGGCUGUGGUGGGCUGUGGUCCACACCCUGCUACACUCACCCAGGACCAUGCGAUCCGCAACCCUGGGUACUGCUUGGUGACCUCCAGCAAAGACUGCACUGAAUGAGGCAGGUCAGCACGCACAGCGCGGCACGACCUCUGAGCUACCCAAAGGGAGAGCAGCAAGUUGCCUGUGCGUGGCUGGUUCCUGCAUGCCCAUAGGAGCAUGAAACGCCCCCAAAGGGCCCACUGGCCAGAUGGUCACUGGGGCAGGAGGGCAGCUGCCAUUCACUGGACUCCUAAUUGUGUUGAUUGGAUUUUUACCUGGGACAUAUAUUUCCUUUUCAAACACAAUGUCAAAGUCAGGAAAGCGGCUGGACGCAGUAGGAGGCCCAGGUGGGUGGAUCACUUGAGGUCAGGAGUUGGAGAGCAGCCUGGCCAACAUGAUGAAACCUGUCUCUACUAAAAAUACAAAAAUUAGCUGGGCGUGGUGGUGUGUGCUUGUAGUCCCAGCUACUUGGGAGGCUGAGGCAGGAGAAUCACUUGAACCCAGUAGGCGGAGGUUGCAGUGAGCCAAGAUCAUGUGACUGCACUGCAGCCUGAGCGAUAAAGUGAGACUCCAUU